UACAGAGGGGGCAAGCGUUAUUCGGAAUUAUUGGGCGUAAAGGGCGCGUAGGCGGCCUGGCAAGUGGAUGGUGAAAUCCCUCGGCUUAACCGAGGAACUGCCAUCCAGACUGCUUGGCUUGAGACCGGGAGAGGUGAGUGGAAUUCCCAGUGUAGCGGUGAAAUGCGUAGAUAUCGCUUGGAACGCCAAUGGUGAAAACAGCUCGCUGGGGGUGUGCUGACGCUGGAGACACGAAAGCCAGGGGAGGCGAACGGG
This 255-nucleotide ribosomal RNA is filed under the name uncultured bacterium. RNAcentral describes it as "partial 16S ribosomal RNA". It matches the Rfam family "Bacterial small subunit ribosomal RNA", at positions 524 to 776 of the family's 1533-position model. The record is from RNAcentral.